This 72-nucleotide transfer RNA is filed under the name Kouleothrix aurantiaca. It matches the Rfam family "tRNA". Rfam says of the family: Transfer RNA (tRNA) molecules are approximately 80 nucleotides in length. Lineage: Bacteria; Bacillati; Chloroflexota; Chloroflexia; Chloroflexales; Roseiflexaceae. The record is from Rfam by way of RNAcentral.
AGCGGAGUGGAGCAGCAGAACGCUCGGGGGUCUCAUAAACCCCAGACACCGGUGCAAUUCCGGUCUCCGCCA